This 136-nucleotide small RNA is filed under the name Sporomusa malonica. Its description in RNAcentral is "c-di-AMP sequence". It matches the Rfam family "c-di-AMP riboswitch aptamer (ydaO/yuaA leader)". Rfam says of the family: This family represents a conserved RNA structure found upstream of the ydaO and yuaA genes in Bacillus subtilis and related genes in other bacteria. The ydaO/yuaA element is thought to act as a genetic "off" switch for the ydaO and yuaA genes in its native state. The record is from RNAcentral. Lineage: Bacteria; Bacillati; Bacillota; Negativicutes; Selenomonadales; Sporomusaceae.
AUAAGGCAAUCGCCGAAUUCCGUUUUAUGGAAGCGGGGGACCCAUUUUUGGGGUGAAUCCUGUCAAAGCAGGUAGGGCAAAUUUCUUUCUGCCCGAAUCCGUCAGCUAACCUCGUAGGCGUUGGAAGAGAAGGAUG